GUGGGGUCCACGGGGGCCACCAAGGGGCCCGGGGACUGGGGGGGGUGACCAAGGGGACGUCGGGGACGCGGUGGCACCUGCUCGAGCGCCUCGGCCAGGUGGCGGUCCAGGCGCCCCUCGCGCUUGCGGAGCUUGGCGCUGUCCCACUGCAGCCCCUCCACCGUGGUGCCCAUCUCCAGCACCUUGGUCUCGGCCGACGUCGCCUUGUCCUGCAGCUCCGCCAGCUGGGGGGGGGGCGGGGACAGCGGUCACGUGACCCCCGGCGGGGUUGGUGACGUCAUCCCGUUGGGAGAUGACGUCAUCCCAUGGGGACAUCGAUGGUGUCACCCCGUGGGGACGCAACGUCAUCCCGUGGGGACGCCGGUGACGUCAUCCCGUUGGGAGAUGACGUCAUCCAUGGGGACGUUGGUGACGUCAUCCCAUGGGGAGAUGACAUCAUCCCAUGGGGACAUCGGUGACGUCAUCCCGUUGGGAGAUGACGUCAUCCACGGGGACACUGGUGACGUCAUCCCGUUGGGAGGUGACGUCAUCCCAUGGGGACAUCGAUGGUGUCACCCCGUGGGGACAUCGGUGACGUCAUCCCAAUGGGAGAUGGUGUCAUCCCAUAGGGGCAUUGGUGACGUCAUCCCGUUGGGAGAUGACGUCAUCCCGUGGGGACAUCAAUGGUGUCACCCCAUGGGGACGUUGGUGACGUCAUCCCAUUGGGAGGUGACGUCAUCCAUGGGGACGUCGAUGACGUCAUUCCAUUGGGAGGUGACAUCAUCCCAUGGGGACAUUGGUGACGUCACCCCGUUGGGAGGUGACGUCAUCCCCUUGGAGAUGACGUCAUCCACGGGGACGCUGGUGACGUCACCCCACCAGUUGCUCCCAAUCCCGUCCAGCUCCUCCCAGUUGUCCCCUACACCCCUCCCAGCUCCUCCCAGUUGCUCCCAGUUGUCCCCCACGCCCCCUCCGGCUCUUCCCAGUUGCUCCCAGUGUCUUCCGAGCGCCUCCCAGUCAUUCCCAGUUACCUAUUCGCUCCGCUG
Molecule: long non-coding RNA, 1025 nt
Filed under: Anser cygnoides (Swan goose)
Lineage: Eukaryota; Metazoa; Chordata; Aves; Anseriformes; Anatidae
Description: lncRNA (ENSACDG00005008379.1)
Source: RNAcentral